GACGAACGCUGGCGGCGUGCUUAACACAUGCAAGUCGAACGCUGAAGACCUGGCUUUUGUUGGGUUGGAUGAGUGGCGAACGGGUGAGUAACACGUGAGUAACCUGCCCUCUUCUUUGGGAUAACGCCCGGAAACGGGUGCUAAUACUGGAUAUUCACUGAUCUUCGCAUGGGGGUUGGUGGAAAGGUUUGUUCUGGUGGGGGAUGGGCUCGCGGCCUAUCAGCUUGUUGGUGGGGUGAUGGCCUACCAAGGCUUUGACGGGUAGCCGGCCUGAGAGGGUGACCGGUCACAUUGGGACGGAGAUACGGCCCAGACUCCUACGGGAGGCAGCAGUGGGGAAUAUUGCACAAUGGGCGAAAGCCUGAUGCAGCGACGCCGCGUGAGGGAUGGAGGCCUUCGGGUUGUAAACCUCUUUCGCUCAUGGUCAAGCCGCAACUGUGGGUUGUGGUGAGGGUAGUGUGUAAAGAAGCGCCGGCUAACUACGUG
This 486-nucleotide ribosomal RNA is filed under the name uncultured bacterium. RNAcentral describes it as "partial 16S ribosomal RNA". It matches the Rfam family "Bacterial small subunit ribosomal RNA", at positions 28 to 507 of the family's 1533-position model. The record is from RNAcentral.